This 253-nucleotide unclassified non-coding RNA is filed under the name uncultured Caryophanales bacterium. Its description in RNAcentral is "uncultured Bacillales bacterium contains 16S-23S intergenic spacer region". It matches the Rfam family "Bacterial small subunit ribosomal RNA", at positions 524 to 776 of the family's 1533-position model. The record is from RNAcentral. Lineage: Bacteria; Bacillati; Bacillota; Bacilli; Caryophanales.
UACGUAGGUGGCAAGCGUUGUCCGGAAUUAUUGGGCGUAAAGCGCGCGCAGGCGGCCUCUUGAGUCUGAUGUGAAAGCCCCCGGCUCAACCGGGGAGGGCCAUUGGAAACUGGGAGGCUUGAGUAUAGGAGAGAAGAGUGGAAUUCCACGUGUAGCGGUGAAAUGCGCAGAUAUCGGGAGGAACACCAGUAGCGAAGGCGGCUCUCUGGCCUAUAACUGACGCUGAGGCGCGAAAGCGUGGGGAGCAAACAGG